This 520-nucleotide ribosomal RNA is filed under the name uncultured Archaeospora. RNAcentral describes it as "SSU rRNA". It matches the Rfam family "Eukaryotic small subunit ribosomal RNA", at positions 569 to 1092 of the family's 1831-position model. Lineage: Eukaryota; Fungi; Glomeromycota; Glomeromycetes; Archaeosporales; Archaeosporaceae. The record is from RNAcentral.
AGCAGCCGCGGUAAUUCCAGCUCCAAUAGCGUAUAUUAAAGUUGUUGCAGUUAAAAAGCUCGUAGUUGAAUUUUGGAUUCUGCCAGUUGGUCCAUCUUUUGAUGAGUACUGAUUGUGCGGGGUCUAUCCGCCUGGGGAGACGGAAUGUACUUUAUUGUAUGUUGCGGGUAGCCAGGACCUUUACCUUGAAAAAAUUAGAGUGUUUAAAGCAGGCUUAUGCCGGAAUACAUUAGCAUGGAAUAAUAGAAUAGGACGAUGUUGUUUUAUUUUGUUGGUUUCUAGGACAACCGUAAUGAUUAAUAGGGAUAGUUGGGGGCAUUAGUAUUCAAUUGUCAGAGGUGAAAUUCUUGGAUUUAUUGAAGACUAACUACUGCGAAAGCAUUUGCCAAGGAUGUUUUCAUUAAUCAAGAACGAAAGUUAGGGGAUCGAAGACGAUCAGAUACCGUCGUAGUCUUAACCAUAAACUAUGCCGACUAGGGAUCGGGCGAUGUUGUUUCCAUGACUCGCUCGGCACCUUAUG